GACGAACGCUGGCGGCGUGCUUAACACAUGCGAGUCGAGCGGUAAGGCCUUUCGGGGUCCACGAGCGGCGAACGGGUGAGUAACACGUGGGUGAUCUGCCCUGCACUUCGGGAUAAGCCUGGGAAACUGGGUCUAAUACCGGAUAUGACCUCCUAUCGCAUGGUGGGUGGUGGAAAGAUUUAUCGGUGCAGGAUGGGCCCGCGGCCUAUCAGCUUGUUGGUGGGGUAAUGGCCUACCAAGGCGACGACGGGUAGCCGACCUGAGAGGGUGACCGGCCACACUGGGACUGAGACACGGCCCAGACUCCUACGGGAGGCAGCAGUGGGGAAUAUUGCACAAUGGGCGAAAGCCUGAUGCAGCGACGCCGCGUGAGGGAUGACGGCCUUCGGGUUGUAAACCUCUUUCAGCAGGGACGAAGCGCAAGUGACGGUACCUGCAGAAGAAGCACCGGCUAACUACGUG
This 462-nucleotide ribosomal RNA is filed under the name uncultured bacterium. RNAcentral describes it as "partial 16S ribosomal RNA". It matches the Rfam family "Bacterial small subunit ribosomal RNA", at positions 28 to 507 of the family's 1533-position model. The record is from RNAcentral.